Molecule: unclassified non-coding RNA, 576 nt
Filed under: Clonostachys rosea f. rosea
Lineage: Eukaryota; Fungi; Ascomycota; Sordariomycetes; Hypocreales; Bionectriaceae
Description: sequence contains 18S rRNA gene, ITS1, 5.8S rRNA gene, ITS2, 28S rRNA gene
Rfam family: 5.8S ribosomal RNA (bases 203-356)
Source: RNAcentral
AGUCGUAACAAGGUCUCCGUUGGUGAACCAGCGGAGGGAUCAUUACCGAGUUUACAACUCCCAAACCCAUGUGAACAUACCUACUGUUGCUUCGGCGGGAUUGCCCCGGGCGCCUCGUGUGCCCCGGAUCAGGCGCCCGCCUAGGAAACUUAAUUCUUGUUUUAUUUUGGAAUCUUCUGAGUAGUUUUUACAAAUAAAUAAAAACUUUCAACAACGGAUCUCUUGGUUCUGGCAUCGAUGAAGAACGCAGCGAAAUGCGAUAAGUAAUGUGAAUUGCAGAAUUCAGUGAAUCAUCGAAUCUUUGAACGCACAUUGCGCCCGCCAGUAUUCUGGCGGGCAUGCCUGUCUGAGCGUCAUUUCAACCCUCAUGCCCCUAGGGCGUGGUGUUGGGGAUCGGCCAAAGCCCGCGAGGGACGGCCGGCCCCUAAAUCUAGUGGCGGACCCGUCGUGGCCUCCUCUGCGAAGUAGUGAUAUUCCGCAUCGGAGAGCGACGAGCCCCUGCCGUUAAACCCCCAACUUUCCAAGGUUGACCUCAGAUCAGGUAGGAAUACCCGCUGAACUUAAGCAUAUCAAUAA